GUUGCGUCACUGGUCGAUUUAAUCACGACUUAUGAGUGACAAUAUACUCGUUGUCGAAGGCAUUGUAACCCAACAAGUGGGGAGUUCGAUUUGGUUGGGACAAAUCGAACGAUCUGCGGUAGCAUCGAUAAUGACGUGGUGUGGAUGCAAGCUGUGCCAUGCCUGGAUGUUGUUGCUACUUUGUGAUGCUGAUGAGAUUUGUGUUGAAUGGUGAUGCAAGGCUUUUUUGGUUUGAUGCGUUUUUGGUGAUGACAUUCGUCUCGAGGUGAUGCGGUGUCAUGUUGCCUGCGUAUCCUGGUUUUGAGCUGUUGAGCUUAAAACAUGUGGAUUAUCGGUUAGUGACACGGCAUCGCUCCCUUGGUUGAUGAAAGUCGUCCAAUGAUGCGUUGGUUUGUUUGUUUUCUUCUCGCAUCGCUCGGUGCAUUCUGUGGUCAUUUUGGCUGUUGGUAGCUUGCUUGGCAAUUGAGCUUGGUGGGUUACUACUGGUUGGGGUGUCUUCGGGGAUGUCUACCGUAAAGGUGCAUGAGUGGUGUUUGGUUUGUUACGGGUGGUUGGCUCUUUGCUUGCGCAACAACUUCUACCCGGCAUACCUCUUCAGUCUUGUGUCAAUGCUUGUAUCGCAUUGAAUGCACGGCGGGUUUCUUGUGUUGCAUGCCUAAUUAAUGGUAUCGUUUGAUGAAUUGGUUUUCCUUUCGUCUUGCGUCGCCUAUGCGAUGUGAGAGGAACCUUGAAGCAGCCUUUGUGAUCCACUCUUUUGAUGCAUACGCAUUGAUUUUGUGGCCCAUUUAGUGUUGCUCGGUCUCAUGGAUAUGGAACCUGGUGUGGGCAUGGAAUCUUAAUGGUUCCUUGUUUGCCCAAGUUUAGUUUUUCUAAAACGAUUGUCU
RNAcentral lists this unclassified non-coding RNA (884 nucleotides) under Helichrysum monticola. Its description in RNAcentral is "contains 5' external transcribed spacer, ETS". The record is from RNAcentral. Lineage: Eukaryota; Viridiplantae; Streptophyta; Magnoliopsida; Asterales; Asteraceae.